UACGAAGGGUGCUAGCGUUGUUCGGAAUCACUGGGCGUAAAGCGCGCGUAGGCGGCUUUUCAAGUCAGGGGUGAAAUCCUGGGGCUUAACCCCAGAAUUGCCUCUGAAACUGGGAAGCUUGAGUGUCGGAGGGGAUAGCGGAAUUCCUAAUGUAGAGGUGAAAUUCGUAGAUAUUAGGAGGAACACCGGUGGCGAAGGCGGCUAUCUGGACGACAACUGACGCUGAGGCGCGAAAGCGUGGGGAUCAAAC
Molecule: ribosomal RNA, 250 nt
Filed under: uncultured bacterium
Lineage: Bacteria
Description: partial 16S ribosomal RNA
Rfam family: Bacterial small subunit ribosomal RNA
Source: RNAcentral